Molecule: ribosomal RNA, 493 nt
Filed under: uncultured bacterium
Lineage: Bacteria
Description: partial 16S ribosomal RNA
Rfam family: Bacterial small subunit ribosomal RNA
Source: RNAcentral
AUUGAACGCUGGCGGCAUGCUUUACACAUGCAAGUCGAACGGUAACAGGUUAAGCUGACGAGUGGCGAACGGGUGAGUAAUGCAUCGGAACGUGCCCGGUCGUGGGGGAUAACACUUCGAAAGGAGUGCUAAUACCGCAUACGAUCUGAGGAUGAAAGCGGGGGACCGUAAGGCCUCGCGCGAUCGGAGCGGCCGAUGUCAGAUUAGGUAGUUGGUGGGGUAAAGGCUCACCAAGCCGACGAUCUGUAGCUGGUCUGAGAGGACGACCAGCCACACUGGGACUGAGACACGGCCCAGACUCCUACGGGAGGCAGCAGUGGGGAAUUUUGGACAAUGGGCGCAAGCCUGAUCCAGCAAUGCCGCGUGCAGGAAGAAGUCCUUCGGGUUGUAAACCGCUUUUGUACGGAGCGAAAAGGCUCCCUCUAAUACAGGGGGGUCAUGACGGUACCGUAAGAAUAAGCACCGGCUAACUACGUGCCAGCCGCCGCCGUAA